GCCGGGUUCGAAUUUUUUGCUGGCUGGAAUGUGGACCGCCUUAUCAAGUGCGUCUACGCUUUCGGUGAUAAAAAAUUGCUACUGGUAAAUGCACUUUUAGCCUUUAUUAAAAUUUUACGGACGUAUAACGAAAUGUAUAUGGGCAAUUCUCACAAACUUUGAAUUUUUUUGUGAAAAAAAUUAUUUUCGAUUUCGAAAAUUUUCUAAAUAUAUACCUUUUUUAUGCCCACGUCAACGAUUGUACUAAGUGUGUGGUACAAAUUGAUAAAUUGGUUUCCGAGAUACGCAUACAGUGAACCAAGUAAAAACUGGGACCGACAAUUUAAUUUCUUGCUACUGGAGAAUCAUUCCGUUCUUUGGCGUUUCAAUAUAGGGUAUCUCAUUCAUGGAUUUCUCAUAUAGUGAGGCAAGUUUCACAAAGUAUUGUGAAGAAUAUGCUAGACGUUUUACCACAACUAACAGAAGAUUUCAUGCGGAUAACUGCAAACAAAUUUAUGGCACUGUGGAAUUUUCCCAACUGUGUGGGAGCCAUAGACGGCAAACACAUACGAAUAAAAUCACCUAAUAACAGUGGAUCCUUGUUUUUUAAUUAUAAGGAGUAUUAUUCGAUGGUUUUGUUGGCGAUUGUCGAUGCAGAUUGCAAAUUUCUGGCAGUAGAUGUUGGGUCAUAUGGCAGGGAGGGGGAUGCAGGAAUUUAUUUAAAAAGCAACAUUGGUCGCAGAAUACAAAAUAUUGAAUUCAAAUUCCCAGCGCCUCACCCUCUUUCUGAAUCAACAGAAGCUGUGCCUUGUAGUGUUGUUCCGAUACGACCUUGUACUCGAUACCUGUACUCUUUAAAAAUAUUGAAGAAAAGUAUCGAUGCCACAAAUGUAUCGGAGAGAAGUACUCGAUACUUACUCA
Long non-coding RNA from Rhagoletis zephyria (snowberry fruit fly), 900 nucleotides. RefSeq lists it as uncharacterized. The record is from RefSeq and is a predicted model, not a curated record. NCBI's taxonomy places the organism in Eukaryota, Metazoa, Arthropoda, Insecta, Diptera, Tephritidae.